This 498-nucleotide ribosomal RNA is filed under the name uncultured bacterium. RNAcentral's name for it is "partial 16S ribosomal RNA". It matches the Rfam family "Bacterial small subunit ribosomal RNA", at positions 29 to 526 of the family's 1533-position model. The record is from RNAcentral.
AUUGAACGCGGGCGGCAUGCCUUACACAUGCAAGUCGAACGGUAACAGGUCUUCGGACGCUGACGAGUGGCGAACGGGUGAGUAAUACAUCGGAACGUGCGCAGUCGUGGGGGAUAACUACUCGAAAGAGCAGCUAAUACCGCAUACGAUCUGAGGAUGAAAGCGGGGGACCUGCGGGCCUCGCGCGGUUGGAGCGGCGGAUGGCAGAUUAGGUAGGUGGUGGGAUAAAAGCUUACCAAGCCGACGAUCAGUAGCUGGUCUGGGAGGAGGACCAGCCACACUGGGACUGAGACACGGCCACGACUCCUACGGGAGGCAGCAGUGGGGAAUUUUGGACAAUGGGCGAAAGCCUGAUCCAGCAAUGCCGCGUGCAGGAUGAAGGCCUUCGGGUUGUAAACUGCUUUUGUACGGAACGAAAAAGCUCCUUCUAAUACAGGGGGCCCAUGACGGUACCGUAAGAAUAAGCACCGGCUAACUACGUGCCAGCCGCCGUAACAC